RNAcentral lists this unclassified non-coding RNA (1054 nucleotides) under Penaeus chinensis. RNAcentral's name for it is "gastrula zinc finger protein XlCGF52.1-like, transcript variant X3". Lineage: Eukaryota; Metazoa; Arthropoda; Malacostraca; Decapoda; Penaeidae. The record is from RNAcentral.
CGCCGAGAAUGCUUUGCGCUCGUUGUCCUCGGGGUCUGUUGACACAAAUCAGCUGACGGAAGCGAAGGAAGUGAGGCGGUUUUCCGACGUUAUUUCGGGUUUUGCGAGGUCAAGAAGAGCAAGGUGGAGGCAGAAGCUGAUUCACGCAUGUGCAGCUAAGUAUGGAUGCAGCUCCUCCAGCUAUGUCUCAGGGCUCCAGUCCAAGAUGACAUGACCAUUACAUCAUGAAAAUAAUUGGCCUGAGGGGUGGGUGAAGUCAACAUUCCGUCAUGGGAAACUUUGGUUGAUGGCCAGGAUAACAGAAACUGUCAUGAGAAUUCCGUCUGGAGGCCUAGGGUGACGGGAAUGACUCGCCACAAGUGCACAAAGCUCUUGGAGGAUGACUGGAGUCGGUGGGCAUUUAGGGAGGGGCUCUUGCCUUAUUUGCAUGGAUGAAUGAGUGCAAUAUGCUCAUCAGUGGGGCAUGACUGGAAGAGGAGUGCUGGUUGCAGGAAGGAUACUAUUUCCAUGCUCAGGAUCUUAUUCCUGCCUGCUGUAACUGGUGGCAUGGUUUGUAUUACAGAAAUAUUGUGAAAAAAUAAAGAAUGAGACAAAUAUCAAAAUGUUACUUAUUGUUGUUAUUAUUGCUCUGAUUUAUGGACUUCCUAUAGAGAUGAUGAUGGUCUAAUACCAUCUGGAUAAAGCAAAUCUAAUGCGAAUUAAAGAUGGAGAAUGGCAAAAAAGAUAAAAGUACUUUUGCAGAAAAAGAGAAAAUAACAUUGCAAAAGGGAGGCAUGGAGUCUUGCCAUCACAUACAAGUGUAUGUGACUGCUCAAAUAAACCUGAUACCUGUAUUUUGAGCCAUGUACAGGCAGUGAAGCAUCCAGUUCCAAGGAGUUAAUAGCAUUAGGUAAAAAUAUUUUCCCAAAAAUUCAAGAAAAGGGGAAAGCAGGUGAGGUCAGAUAGGUCUGUUCAUGGACUCCUUGGUGGCUGAGUAUCUGCUGGGUGGCAUUAAGUCAAAUUUUUAAACAAGUGAAAGAUGAUGUCAUAAUCAGCUGUUAAAAUCAUCCUAUAU